This 773-nucleotide long non-coding RNA is filed under the name Fukomys damarensis (Damara mole-rat). RNAcentral describes it as "lncRNA (ENSFDAG00000033198.1)". Lineage: Eukaryota; Metazoa; Chordata; Mammalia; Rodentia; Bathyergidae. The record is from RNAcentral.
GAAACAGACCAGAGUACACCAGGAACCAUCCACUCACCAAGUGUAGGAACGGAGGCUGAGGCAAGAGGAGACCACAUACAACACAAAACACUUUAAAACCUCCCUCCUCAGUGUGCAGUUGCCCAGACCGAGCUCAGACUUGGAACCCUCCUGCCCCAGCCUCCCAGAGUACGGGGAUUACAGACAAUCUAUGAUGGAAGAGAAGAAGCAGGCUGUCUUUUGACCCAGGGGAGGCUCCCUUACCUUCCAAGGUGGUUUCAUCCAUAUCCUGGAAAGAAAAGUCCAGGACAGAGGGCCAUUCGUUGUACAUCAUCUGCAAGAUGUGCAGAAACACAAAAGACUCCCGGAGCCAGCAGCUGAGGCAGAUCAAGGUGGACAUCAGCGCCCAAGCCCAGGAUCCCAGCCGCCUCCAAGUCCUGCCGGCCCAGAGACACUGGAUCCCAGGAGCCCCGCGGGUGCAGUCACGCAGUACAGCCGCGCGGGGGCAGCAGACACCGGGGCGAGGCGGUGUGGAGUUUUCACUGCGUUUUGUUCUCUUGCCCUGCAAGGCCAGCUUCCCCGCGCAGCAGAGCUGGGUGCAUGUGAGGGGCGCUCCUGUGCAGUGCCCAAAGGUCAGAUUCGGACACCCAGGCCGUCAGAGAUCUGCAAAAGGCGGGAUGAAACGUGACCCGAGCGAUCACGAAGACACCACAAAGACACGCGGGGGCAGCUGCAGGCUGGAGAGGAGGAGGAGGUGGAGGAGGAGCUCUCCUGUAAUGCUGUGUGGCCUGUGA